UGUUCGAGCGUCAUUAUAACCACUCAAGCCUGGCUUGGUAUUGGAGUUCGCUAUCGGCGUCUCCUAAAAUCAGUGGCGGUGCCUGUCGGCUCUACGCGUAGUAAUACUUCUCGCUAUAGAGUUCCGGCAGGUUACUUGCCAGCAACCCCCAAUUUUUUCAGGUUGACCUCGGAUCAGGUAGGGAUACCCGCUGAACUUAA
This 200-nucleotide unclassified non-coding RNA is filed under the name soil metagenome. Its description in RNAcentral is "partial contains internal transcribed spacer 2 and large subunit ribosomal RNA". The record is from RNAcentral.